Molecule: long non-coding RNA, 1340 nt
Organism: Drosophila ananassae
Lineage: Eukaryota; Metazoa; Arthropoda; Insecta; Diptera; Drosophilidae
Exons: 2
Source: RefSeq, a predicted model, not a curated record
UUUAAAGCUUAAAAUGCUAGAGUUUUAUUUUAUGCCUUUAUGGCUUUCAUUUCGCCAGGAAUUAUACUUUUUUCGAGUGUGAAAAACGCAAAGUUUCGCCAGUCAAACAGUCAGCCAGGCCACAUAUCCAAUUACGUUUAUAGAUAUUACGAACAUUGCGCCAAAAAGAAAGAAAAUACGCACAACGUUGCCAUAAAAAAAUGGACGUAUACUUAAUGUGAAUUAGGUUUGGAUGUGUGACCCAACAAACAGACAGAACUAAAAGGGGUAGCAACCGCAGAGAGCCAAACUAAAUGCAUGGCUUGUUCUACAAAAUUAACUAUUACAUGUUAAGUACCAUAAUUUGUAUAAGCUGGCACAUUAGAAGGCACACAUAAGCAAACACACCCCAGGAAAAAAACAUUAUGAUUAAAAAAAUAUAUAUAUAAGCCGGAAUCGGUGGAGCACACGUUGCGUGUGUAUAUUUUUUUAGGGGUAAGUGUGUGUGGCGUCUAGUUUGUCCCAGGAGCUGGUUGACUUUUUAGUUGGCCUUUUUAUGAGCGACUAACUAAUUAAGAUAAGUGUGUCUGAUUUUCAUAUUAAUGGCACACAAACGAACCCAUUGUGGCGCCCUUAUCUUAAAUGUUCGGGGGCCAAGCCGAAGCGUCAACAGUUGCCUCGAUUCCAUACACUCUACAAUACGGUUUUGGUUCCCAUUCCAUCCGGAUCCUUGUGUGUUUUCUGAUUUUUCAAAACAUGAACAUGAAAGGACUAGAAGGGCCAAAGGGUCCAGUGGGGGGGCAAAAGGGAAAAUACGGAGAAAAGAGGCUACUGCAACGGACGUGGCUUACAUGAGCAUGUGUAUUUAAGCCUCGUUGGGCACAAAACAAUUAAUAUUGCGCCCGCCCACUGGCUCACCCACGACUAAGCACAAAUCAGCCUCCUGUGAAAUGUGAAACACAAAAGCGCGCGUUGCCACCAACAAUAAUAAUAACAACAACAGCCCCAUCACCAGCACAGGCGAGAGCACAAGCUACAGCAACAGCAACCGGAAACGGAAGCGCACAACUCUUUGCGCGAAUUAAUCACACAGCUACAACUAAAACUACACAGCAACUACAUCAAUGAGAACAAGUCCAACAAACACAAGAAACGCAGCGAACAGCAAAAUCAGCAAAGGAACGACAUGGACACGCAUAUAAAAUUUGCCUCGUCGGCUCUUCAGCACAUAUUCCCGUACAUGAAGCCCGAAUCAAGCACCAUAAUACGGUGAGGACUUCUUCGAACUACUUAUGUUUUAAUAUCGGAACAACAACAAUCCAUAAUCUCACAUAAUUAUAUCAGAUUAUAAUCUAUCAGUU